RNAcentral lists this ribosomal RNA (578 nucleotides) under uncultured bacterium. Its description in RNAcentral is "bacterial SSU rRNA". It matches the Rfam family "Bacterial small subunit ribosomal RNA", at positions 338 to 916 of the family's 1533-position model. The record is from RNAcentral.
CCUACGGGAGGCAGCAGUAAGGAAUAUUGGUCAAUGGACGAAAGUCUGAACCAGCCAUGCCGCGUGAAGGAUUAAGGCCCUCUGGGUUGUAAACUUCUUUUAUCUGGGACGAAAAAAGGGUAUUCUUACUCACUUGACGGUACCAGAGGAAUAAGCACCGGCUAACUCCGUGCCAGCAGCCGCGGUAAUACGGAGGGUGCAAGCGUUAUCCGGAUUUACUGGGUUUAAAGGGUGCGUAGGUGGGCUUGUAAGUCAGUGGUGAAAUCUCCGGGCUUAACCCGGAAACUGCCAUUGAUACUAUAGGUCUUGAAUUAUCUGGAGGUAAGCGGAAUAUGUCAUGUAGCGGUGAAAUGCUUAGAUAUGACAUAGAACACCAAUUGCGAAGGCAGCUUACUACGGAUAUAUUGACACUGAGGCACGAAAGCGUGGGGAUCAAACAGGAUUAGAUACCCUGGUAGUCCACGCCCUAAACGAUGGAUACUCGACAUCAGCGAUACACUGUUGGUGUCUGAGCGAAAGCAUUAAGUAUCCCACCUGGGAAGUACGAUCGCAAGAUUGAAACUCAAAUGAAUUGACGG